GACGAACGCUGGCGGCGUGCUUAACACAUGCAAGUCGAACGGAAAGGCCCCUUUGGGGGUACUCGAAUGGCGAACGGGUGAGUAACACGUGAGUAACCUGCCCUUGACUUCGGGAUAACUUCAGGAAACUGGGGCUAAUACCGGAUAGGAAUCCUUGCUGCAUGGUGGGGGUUGGAAAGCUUCGGCGGUUUUGGAUGGACUCGCGGCUUAUCAGCUUGUUGGUGGGGUAGUGGCUUACCAAGGCUUUGACGGGUAGCCGGCCUGAGAGGGCGACCGGCCACAUUGGGACUGAGAUACGGCCCAGACUCCUACGGGAGGCAGCAGUGGGGAAUAUUGCACAAUGGGCGGAAGCCUGAUGCAGCAACGCCGCGUGCGGGAUGACGGCCUUCGGGUUGGAAACCGCUUUCAGCAGGGGCGAAGCUUGUGGUGACGGUACCUGCAGAAGAAGCACCGGCUAACUACGUG
Molecule: ribosomal RNA, 465 nt
Filed under: uncultured bacterium
Lineage: Bacteria
Description: partial 16S ribosomal RNA
Rfam family: Bacterial small subunit ribosomal RNA
Source: RNAcentral